The sequence is a ribosomal RNA, 2097 nucleotides long. It matches the Rfam family "Bacterial large subunit ribosomal RNA".
UUUAAUUUAUGUACAUUAAGGCAGGUAUUAUGACGUAGCAUGAAAUUUAGCAUCAGUCUAAGAAGACUAACGCUAAAACUCCUUUCGAAAACGAAGAACACUAUAAUUAAUGAUCAAUUACGGAGAAACUCUGUUUGAUGAUUUGGUUUAAUUAAUAGACUGGUGAGGAAAUGAAUCAUCUAAAUACUAGAAAGAAUAAAUCAAACGAGAUAUCAUGAGUAGCGGCGAGCGAAAACGAACUAUUUUAAAAAUAAUUAAUUGAAGAUAGGUGGUCACACAUCUAAAAAUAUAAAACCAUUAACCCUCACUGAAAUGAGGUCGUGAGGCUGAAGAAAAAUAAGUUACUAAUAGCUGUUGUAAUUCAACGUACCUUUUGUAUAAUGGGUUCGCAAGAUGAUGUUUAGCAAACUAAAAAACAGGUAAAGUGAAAACGAGUGAUAGCUUUAGUUAAACAACCCGAAAACAAGUGAUCUAAUCAUGAACCGUUAAUAGAACAAACUAAUGGUUGUAGCAAAAACCUUAGAAGAUUUGUGAUUAGAGGUGAAAUAUCAACCGAACUUGUCUAUAGCUGGUUUUCUGCGAAAAUUAUAUAAGUAAUGCGAUUUAUUAUUCUUAUUUGAUUAGAUUAAAAUGUAAUAUCAGAAUAAAAAAGAAUUUGAAAAGCAGUAGGACUCUGGGCGACAAGGUCCAGGGUCAAAAAGGAAAAGCCUUAAUCAGAAGUUAAAGUCAUUAAUAAGUGUGACUUUAAAGAGAUAUAAAGCAGAUCAUAAGGAAGUAGGCUUAGAAACAGCCUCCUUAAUUAACAACGUAAAAGUUUACUUGAAAAGUCAAUUGUCUCUAGAAUUUUAGUGUCUUAAGAAAACUAAAACUCUGGCUAAAGUAAUAGGGUAGCAGAACAUACUGUAAGCUGUAGUCAGGACGACAAUGCGAACAUGAGUAAAAAAGCUGUACUUAUUCUCAUGGUUUCAGGUAAUCCAGCCCCUAAAAUUAUAUAGUUGAUGGGUGAGACAAAAACGCAUAUAUGCCAGGAAAACUUUUUUUCAAUGAAAUUGAAUACGAAGAACUGUACCAACUAAGAAAAAGUAAGGGAUAAUUUUUCUUUAGGAACUCGGCAAACAAAUUUAAGAUCAGAAUAAGAAAGUAUCGGCUGUUUACCAAAAACAUAGCCACUUGCUAAAGGAGCCCUAAAGUAUAGGAGGUGAAGCCUGCCCUAUGGUUGUACCUGAAAUAAUAACAAAGCAGUUAUUUAUAAAGACAAUUUAAUGGCCGCGGUAUACCUGACUGUGAAAAUGUAGCGCAAUCAAUCGUCAAUUAAUUGUUGACAAGUAUGAAUGGCGUCACGAGUGCUUGACUGUCUUAAGAAAAAACCCAGUGAAAUUGAAUUCGUAGUUAAGAUGCUACGUAAUUUUGUAAGACGAAAAGACCCUAUUAAGCUUUACUGGAUGCUUAUGUUGUCUUAAUAAAUAGAUAUAAUGAAUGGUUAAUGCAUAUUAAAUAAGAUAAUUAAUAUAGUUAAUAAAGAAGAAAUAGUAAUAUUCUUAUUCAGUAUAUUUAAUCCUUUAUAUCAAUAUAAAUGAAAGACUAUUUCUCCACUUAAGAAUGGAUUAGUAUGUUAGACAGUUUGGUUGGGGCGACCCCCUUAAAAAGGAUAACUGAGGGGCACUAAGGUAAUAAAGAAAGAGCUUGACUGUAAGAGGGCCCUCAAACAGACACGAAAGUGGGUAAAUUGACCCGUUAAUAAAAGUGGGAUUGUUAACGAUAAACAAAUAAAAGUUACUAUAGGGAUAACAGCGUAAUAUUGUUAGAGAGUUCACAUUAACAACAAUGUUUGCGACCUCGAUGUUGAAUUGCGGCAUCCUGAGGGUGCAGAAGCUCUUAAAGGUUAGUCUGUUCGACUAUGAAAGCCGUACAUGAUUUGAGUUCAGAGCGUGGUAACACAGUUCGGUUCCUAUCUACAACAAACAAAUUAUAAUUAUUUUUUAGUACGAAAGGAAUUAAAAUAAAAAUCCUAUGAUUUAUGUCACGAUUUAUAGUAACGUCUGACGGCUUUUUAAGUAUGAAUUAUAUUUGUACACGUUUUUAAUCGUUUAAGAGGAC